UACGUAGGGGGCGAGCGUUGUCCGGAAUUACUGGGCGUAAAGGGCGCGCAGGCGGCCGUGUAAGUCCGCUGUGAAAGCCCCGGGCUCAACCUGGGAAUGGCGAUGGAUACUGGCUCGCUAGAGUGCGGUAGAGGAGAGUGGAAUUCCCGGUGUAGCAGUGAAAUGCGUAGAGAUCGGGAGGAACAUCAGUUGCGAAGGCGGCUCUCUGGACCAGCACUGACACUGAGGCACGAAAGCGUGGGGAGCAAACAGG
RNAcentral lists this ribosomal RNA (253 nucleotides) under uncultured bacterium. RNAcentral describes it as "partial 16S ribosomal RNA". It matches the Rfam family "Bacterial small subunit ribosomal RNA", at positions 524 to 776 of the family's 1533-position model. The record is from RNAcentral.